RNAcentral lists this unclassified non-coding RNA (285 nucleotides) under Hevea brasiliensis (rubber tree). The record is from RNAcentral. Lineage: Eukaryota; Viridiplantae; Streptophyta; Magnoliopsida; Malpighiales; Euphorbiaceae.
UCACCCACAUUAUCAGCAAUAACCUGCAUAAGCACCAUAGAUUAUAAGCCACAAUUGACCAAAGAAUUUUGGGAAGUAUAAACUAUCAUGAACAAUGCAGGACUUGGAAAAGAUAAGACAAAAGUCGCAGAUGAGCUAUAGAAAAGAAUUUAAAGCAGUGCAAAUCCUAAAAUAGUAAAUUAGCCAAUGUGAAACUGCCACAAGAGGAGCUGUUUAAACAAUUAAACAUGGAACUUGUCCAUGAUAGUCAGUAAAAAAUAAUGAGAAAGGAGUUCCAAGGAAAUU